AGGUUGUAUUAUCUCGCUGCGGCAAUCUUGCCCUUCACUCUGGGACAAGCCCUUGGAAACGGGGUCUAAUACCGGAUAACACUCUGUCCUGCAUGGGACGGGGUUAAAAGCUCCGGCGGUGAAGGAUGAGCCCGCGGCCUAUCAGCUUGUUGGUGGGGUAAUGGCCUACCAAGGCGACGACGGGUAGCCGGCCUGAGAGGGCGACCGGCCACACUGGGACUGAGACACGGCCCAGACUCCUACGGGAGGCAGCAGUGGGGAAUAUUGCACAAUGGGCGAAAGCCUGAUGCAGCGACGCCGCGUGAGGGAUGACGGCCUUCGGGUUGUAAACCUCUUUCAGCAGGGAAGAAGCGAAAGUGACGGUACCUGCAGAAGAAGCGCCGGCUAACUACGUGCCAGCAGCCGCGGUAAUACGUAGGGCGCAAGCGUUGUCCGGAAUUAUUGGGCGUAAAGAGCUCGUAGGCGGCUUGUCACGUCGGAUGUGAAAGCCCGGGGCUUAACCCCGGGUCUGCAUUCGAUACGGGCUAGCUAGAGUGUGGUAGGGGAGAUCGGAAUUCCUGGUGUAGCGGUGAAAUGCGCAGAUAUCAGGAGGAACACCGGUGGCGAAGGCGGAUCUCUGGGCCAUUACUGACGCUGAGGAGCGAAAGCGUGGGGAGCGAACAGGAUUAGAUACCCUGGUAGUCCACGCCGUAAACGUUGGGAACUAGGUGUUGGCGACAUUCCACGUCGUCGGUGCCGCAGCUAACGCAUUAAGUUCCCCGCCUGGGGAGUACGGCCGCAAGGCUUAAA
Molecule: ribosomal RNA, 789 nt
Filed under: Streptomyces sp. VC-YC6642
Lineage: Bacteria; Bacillati; Actinomycetota; Actinomycetes; Kitasatosporales; Streptomycetaceae
Description: bacterial SSU rRNA
Rfam family: Bacterial small subunit ribosomal RNA
Source: RNAcentral